AAUUGUAUCUUAGUCUGUUGUAUUCCACAGAAGAACAUAAGAUGUAUCCUUUAGUAAAAUUAAUUUUCAGAUGGUAUAAACAAAGAUCAAAUAUAUUUAUACCAGUUCAUUUUUAAUAGCCCUUUUCAAACAGUUUUUAUUAACAUUUAUGUUGCAAUCAAACCAUCCAAAUUAUAGGAUUAGUAUAAAGCCCAAAAUUUGUGUUCGUGUGUGCUGUAAAACAAUGGUAAUAUAUUCUGUAGAAUAUGUAACUAUUAAAUCAUAACUGUGCCAGGCAACACCAGACAUAACUUUUCUGCUGUCAGAUAAAUUCACAGAGUGUAGUUACAGUGAACUUCCUUACUUAAUUAUCAGCAAGAUGCUGGGUCUGUGAUCAAGUCCAAACUUAAAGAUGUAGGAUGUCAUAAUUUGCUGCCUGGUCAGGGCUGUCACAACACUGGAGUGAUGGUGAUUUAGCGUGGAGGUAUGGCAGAAUAAAGAUUAGCAGAGGGACAUGAAAGAAACUCUAAAAAUAACUUGCUCCAUUGCCAUUUUGUCCAUCACUGAUUUCACAUGAAGCCACCAGGGCUUGAAUACAAGGCUCUGCAGUAGGAAGCUAUUGUCAGACUGCCUAAACUAUGGCAUGGCUUUCAUGCAGUGAAUUUUUGAAUGUUUCGAAAGCUUCAUAGUCUAUAUACAGAUGUUGUGUGCAAUCCCUUCUAUAUCCCUUGUGAUCAUGUUAUUUCCACGAAUUUUGAUACCACAGUGAAGAAUAUAAUGACUAGAAAUACAUGAGUUUGAAUAAAUGUGUUUGGAACAUGUAUUCAUUAUUCAAAUGAAAUAAAUAAUUGGUUAUGAAUUUCCUGUGUUGUAAAAUUUGAUACCUGUGUAUUGGUUGAUGCAAGAAUGACGAUGAAAGAACUAUAUUAAU
This is an RNA transcript of Cryptotermes secundus, 910 nucleotides long. It is a transcript of the gene named trafficking protein particle complex subunit 2-like protein, with no coding region annotated. The record is from RefSeq and is a predicted model, not a curated record. The transcript is spliced from 3 exons. Lineage: Eukaryota; Metazoa; Arthropoda; Insecta; Blattodea; Kalotermitidae.